UACAGAGGUCCCGAGCGUUGUUCGGAUUCACUGGGCGUAAAGGGUGCGUAGGUGGUGAGGUAAGUCGGAUGUGAAAUCUCCGGGCUCAACCCGGAAAUGGCAUUGGAAACUACCUUGCUGGAGGAUUUGAGGGGGGAUUGGAAUACUUGGUGUAGCAGUGAAAUGCGUAGAUAUCAAGUGGAACACCAGUGGCGAAGGCGAAUCCCUGGAAAAUACCUGACACUGAGGCACGACAGCUAGGGGAGCAAACAGG
Molecule: ribosomal RNA, 253 nt
Filed under: uncultured bacterium
Lineage: Bacteria
Description: partial 16S ribosomal RNA
Rfam family: Bacterial small subunit ribosomal RNA
Source: RNAcentral